CGAUAAGUAAUGUGAAUUGCAGAAUUCAGUGAAUCAUCGAAUCUUUGAACGCACCUUGCGCCCUUUGGUAAUCCGAGGGGCAUGCCUGUUUGAGUGUCUUGAAGCUCUCAAAACGUCUGCUUAAUUGUCAAGACGUUUUGGACGUGGUUUGCCGGUCGCAAGAUCGGCUCACCCUAAAUGCAUUAGCUGGCUUUUGGGUCCGCGAACUCGGUGUGAUAAUUGUCACUCGCUGGGUUGGUGGGCUUUAUGAUGGAAGCUGCUUACAGUCGUCUUUUCGGAGACAAUACAUCUAAGUGUUUGACCUCAAAUCAGGCAGGACUACCCGCUGAACUUAA
This 335-nucleotide ribosomal RNA is filed under the name uncultured fungus. Its description in RNAcentral is "eukaryotic LSU rRNA". The stretch from base 1 to 99 matches the Rfam family "5.8S ribosomal RNA", at positions 56 to 154 of the family's 154-position model. Lineage: Eukaryota; Fungi. The record is from RNAcentral.